RNAcentral lists this transfer RNA (65 nucleotides) under Melioribacter sp. RNAcentral's name for it is "tRNA-Leu". RNAcentral also lists the same sequence under 1 other name. The record is from RNAcentral. Lineage: Bacteria; Pseudomonadati; Ignavibacteriota; Ignavibacteria; Ignavibacteriales; Melioribacteraceae.
AGCUCAGUAUGGAUAGAGCAGUCCGCCAAACGGCGGAUUGGUCGGAGGUUCGAGUCCUCUCGGGG